AGAGUUUGAUCCUGGCUCAGGACGAACGCUGGCGGCGUGCCUAAUACAUGCAAGUCGAACGCUUCUUUUUCCACCGGAGCUUGCUCCACCGGAAAAAGAGGAGUGGCGAACGGGUGAGUAACACGUGGGUAACCUGCCCAUCAGAAGGGGAUAACACUUGGAAACAGGUGCUAAUACCGUAUAACAAUCAAAACCGCAUGGUUUUGAUUUGAAAGGCGCUUUCGGGUGUCGCUGAUGGAUGGACCCGCGGUGCAUUAGCUAGUUGGUGAGGUAACGGCUCACCAAGGCCACGAUGCAUAGCCGACCUGAGAGGGUGAUCGGCCACAUUGGGACUGAGACACGGCCCAAACUCCUACGGGAGGCAGCAGUAGGGAAUCUUCGGCAAUGGACGAAAGUCUGACCGAGCAACGCCGCGUGAGUGAAGAAGGUUUUUGGAUCGUAAAACUCUGUUGUUAGAGAAGAACAAGGAUGAGAGUAACUGUUCAUCCCUUGMCGGUAUCUAACCAGAAAGCCACGGCUAACUACGUGCCAGCA
RNAcentral lists this ribosomal RNA (534 nucleotides) under uncultured Enterococcus sp. RNAcentral's name for it is "bacterial SSU rRNA". It matches the Rfam family "Bacterial small subunit ribosomal RNA", at positions 8 to 513 of the family's 1533-position model. Lineage: Bacteria; Bacillati; Bacillota; Bacilli; Lactobacillales; Enterococcaceae. The record is from RNAcentral.